CACAGCAACAAGGGGAAAGAGAGUAGCUAAACUGGUCCUGUAGCGUUGAAGGGGAUAGAAGGAGUGUUUAGUGUCGGUGGCGACGUGUGUUGCCGGUGGUUAGCGGCGACAUUCAGCUCUCCUCCUUCCGCGACGACGCUCCUCAGGACCCCUUCCCUCCACGACACAAAAACCGGCCGCCAAAAACCACCGCUUAGACCACGCCUCCUGGGGCUGCCGUCGACCGGGCUCGGUUACCUCUGUGGUCGUGCUCCACACUACGCCCCGCUAUUGCCGCUGAGCUCCACGGCUCACGAUGUUGGCGCAGCACGGACCUCGAUCCUGGCCGCACGGCUCAACGCCCCCGUACGACCUUGGCCGCUCCGCCUCACGGUGGUGGCCGUUUCUCGCCACGAAGUGGGCCUAAGCUGCUCUCGACGGUAGCCGACGUUAAAAACGAUGUUGAUCCAAAAACAAAACGAGCUUAAUCACUAAAAAAAACGUUCCUAAACAUUAACCCCCACGAAGAACGACCUUGGUCGAGAUUCAAAACGACGAUGGUAGAUACUAAAAACGAUGAUGGUAUAUACUAAAACGAUGAUGUUAGAAAGUCUAAAAACGAUGGCGGGCAGAAACUAAAACCGACUUUGCUCAAAGUUUAAAAACGAUGGUGGCGGGAAACAAAAACGACGAUGGCAUAAACUAAAAACGAUGGUGAGAAAGAAAAACUAAAAAAACAAUCUAAGGAGAAAAAACGACCUUGGUAGCUUCAUAAAACGACCUCGACCAACUAAGGUAUCGUGCCGGGACUGCCGGCGAAAAGAAGGGAGCACGCUCUACACGGUCCCCUCGAUGCUUUAACCGUUUUGGACCUUGGCCACGUGUUAAAACAACCUUAGCCGCGGUUUAAAACGACCUUGGCCAAUGCCGCUGCCGAUGCCAUCCUCGUUGCUUGAUCGCUCCUACAAAGUUGGACGUCCGAAAAAACGACCUUGGCUGCCGCACAAAACGAUGUACCCCUGUCUGUGUGCGCCCCGUGCUCGCUACGCUGGUAGUUCGGCCGCUCCCCCAGGCCGCCCGACGCGACGGCACGUCACCGACGCUCGGCUGCUCUCCGCGGUAGCUCGGUCUCCGCUUUCCGGCGCCCCCUUGGUGCUCGAUCAUCCCUUACACACGCCGACCGCAAAGAGCGCUCUUCUUUCCCGACCGCAAAGAGCGCUCUUCUCUCCCUGCACGCGCUCCGUUAGCACACCAGGUCCCGCGCACGUAGCCCGCCGACGCGCAGCUGAUCAUGACGGGUAAAGGUUUUCCUAAGGGCGCUCUUCUUCCGGCGCUGCGUACCCGCUUAGUUCGGCUAUCAUAUGUUCAUGCAUGCAAAAUUUUGCCAACGACCGAGACCGCACCGUCGUGCGUGCGGCAGCGCACCACGGCUAGACUUCCGUCUUUUCCCCCGGCUGUCCGCAUAGCGUCGUGGACGCGGGCGUAGUGGCAGGGGGCCUUUGGUAAAAACGUCGAAUCGAGGUCAGGGGACGCUGUCGGAUGUCGAUGAGGGGACAAAUUUCCCGCCACACCCCCUCCUCCUCUUCGUUCAGGCGGUCGACGUCGAUGAGGACGACGAACGAAGGGGGGACAGCGGCCAGCUUCCUCUACCCCUCCGAUGAGGGCGACCGCGACGAGCAGGAGGAGAGACGGCGGCGGCGACGGGGGGUCCAAGCCAAGAAGAGCAGAAUAGACUUGCUCUAGGGUGGAGACGACGUCUAAACCAUCAUCAUCAGCUCGCGUCGCUUGGAGCCUUCGAAUCACCCACUGCUGGACAGGAGGCGCUUCGCGCUUGCUUAGGUGGUGGGGCCUGGACUACCUCCCCGGAGCCCGGAGGGCGCGGCACAACGUCGAUCUACCGCUCGGGCAGGAGACUAUCUGACUAUGACUUUUUGCUUAUCGAACCUUGCUUACAAGCUAGGGAAGUAGGGUACAAAAAGAGACGAACCCUAUUUUACACGGGUGGGGAUGAUCGUAAUUCCUUAGUCAGUACUACAAUGCGUCAACCGACUUAGUGUAGGUACAAACGAAAUUGUACACAAACAUGGACGUCGAGCAGCCUCGACGCUCCCCUCUGGUAAGGGAUGGUUAUUAUGUCGAUCGCCCUCGUCGGUUCCGUCUCGUAAGGGAUCCUUAGUAGGUCUUCCUGUAGUAAGUCUGCCAGUUGUUCGUAGGGUUACGGCCCACCUGCCGACCUGUGUUAGGGAUGGAGCGUUUGAUAUGAUAACUCGUUAAAUUCGUAUAGGACCCUCACUUCGGUUGCGGAGGUCCAAAUGACCGACCACAAGGUUGGUUUUGAAUAAGAUGUAGUCUUUUCCUCCUAGAGGGUUUCCUCAAGCUGCGGUCUAGAUUUACCAGACCGACGUCGUGCUAGCCCUUUUAUGAACUAGUUCCAGUGACACCACGCACAACCCGGAAACCACGACACCUCACGGACGUUCUAGCAAAGACGUAAGUAGUGCCGCACUUGCAAAGUGAAAGACAGUUACUGUAUCACCGAACGACACCCAAAGACACACCGCUACCAACACUCCCUCCUAUAGGAUAGAAGCGUACCGUUAUGAAGCAGCUCUUGCCACAACAAUGACUGCUCACGCUAGGUAAGAAACUAGUCCAACCGACGGUCGUAGGACCUACGCUUGGACGAAUAGGAUGUGGACACACACUUUUCUUUACGUUCCAAGUCUUGGUUCAAACCCUCCUUUUCUUUGUAAAGUCGUAGCUACGUAUGGUUCAUUUGAGACUAGGUGUACUGUAGUACCGUCUCCAGAUGUUCUUACCGGGACAUCUUCAAAGAAAGUAUUAAAUACUCCUGAAACGUGUGAUGUUCAGUCCACAAAUGUUCGUUUAGUGUCCAUCCUACCACCCUCCAGUACGGCGGUUUAACUAACCUACCCCUUGUUCACUACGACCGCUCCUAAUGACCGAAGAACGUUUAGUCACCUUGUCUCCUACCCCGCUACUACCCAUGAAGUUCCAGUAUUCCCCGUGCUUACUUACACCGUAACUUCCUCUACAAUUACGGCCAUACGGGAGCUGUUUCUUGUAGCGCCCAUCGCGGAAACGUUACACUUCAGACUCGCCGCGGAAAGGAGACAACGUCAACCUUAAUCCCUAAAAGGAUAGUUUAAUUCUGGGAGAAACUAAGUUGCCUAAAAGUAUCCUGAUCGUUUAUACGGGCACGCAACGUUGCCCUCUUUUUGUUAGUCUAAUACGUCUAAUAUAGUCCUACUCUAUUCCUGAAAAUUUUACAGUAAAGAAUUUGAUGUAGACUCAUUACAGUAAUACUCUAUUCCCUGAAGAUUUUUCAGUAAAGUUUUUGACUUUACACUACCACAGUAGCACUGAACUAAAGGAUUCCGUGGUGUUGCAAAAAAAACCGACUCGUUUGAUGUAACUACCUGGAACGAACUUGAUCUGACUACUUACUACACAGAGCGGAACUGGACCGUAGCGCCGCAAAAGGUACUGGUC
This 3492-nucleotide ribosomal RNA is filed under the name Triticum aestivum (bread wheat). Its description in RNAcentral is "partial small subunit ribosomal RNA". The record is from RNAcentral. Lineage: Eukaryota; Viridiplantae; Streptophyta; Magnoliopsida; Poales; Poaceae.